UGGGGAAUAUUGCACAAUGGGCGCAAGCCUGAUGCAGCCAUGCCGCGUGUGUGAAGAAGGCCUUCGGGUUGUAAAGCACUUUCAGCGAGGAGGAAGGUGGUGAGCUUAAUACGCUCAUCAAUUGACGUUACUCGCAGAAGAAGCGCCGGCUAACUCCGUGCCAGCAGCCGCGGUAAUACGGAGGGUGCAAGCGUUAAUCGGAAUUACUGGGCGUAAAGCGCACGCAGGCGGUUUGUUAAGUCAGAUGUGAAAUCCCCGGGCUCAACCUGGGAACUGCAUUUGAAACUGGCAAGCUAGAGUCUCGUAGAGGGGGGUAGAAUUCCAGGUGUAGCGGUGAAAUGCGUAGAGAUCUGGAGGAAUACCGGUGGCGAAGGCGGCCCCCUGGACGAAGACUGACGCUCAGGUGCGAAAGCGUGGGGAGCAAAACAGGAUUAGAUACCCUGGUAGUCCACGCUGUAAAACGAUGUCGAUUUUGGAGGUUGUGCCCUUGAGGCGUGGNUUCCGGAGCUAACGCGUUAAAUCGACCGCCUGGGGAGUACGGCCNCAAGGUUAAAACUAAAGGAAUUGC
Molecule: ribosomal RNA, 568 nt
Filed under: uncultured bacterium
Lineage: Bacteria
Description: partial 16S ribosomal RNA
Rfam family: Bacterial small subunit ribosomal RNA
Source: RNAcentral